RNAcentral lists this unclassified non-coding RNA (302 nucleotides) under Hevea brasiliensis (rubber tree). The record is from RNAcentral. Lineage: Eukaryota; Viridiplantae; Streptophyta; Magnoliopsida; Malpighiales; Euphorbiaceae.
CAGCAACUUGCCAUUCCAAGUCGGAUCUUCAUAUGCUGCACUCACUCGAAUUCUUCUGACAAUUUCAUCUGGACAUCUUGUAGCUCUCUCAAAACUGGCUGGAGUGAGAGAUCCAGUGGAUGUUUCAACCAAGAAGCCAUUGAAGAUUGGGUAUGCAUUCCCUUGAGAAUCUCUCUUGGUGUUAUGCCCAAGGACAAAGAGAGUUUGAAUGUGAAACUUUUCUCGUCUCUUCUCCAUAGUUUCAAUCAUUUUUUUGCAUAAUGGAAAAGAAUAACCAUCUGAUUUCGCAUGGCUUUCAGACC